GUAAGCACUCAGAAAUAUUCAUUACUCUCAUAGUGUCCCAUGCCAGAACAAACUGUGUCCUGAACCAUUUCUGGCCCUCUGUGCCUGUAGGCUGUUGGCACUGAAGAAGGUUGCAUAGUG
Small nucleolar RNA from Ictidomys tridecemlineatus (thirteen-lined ground squirrel), 120 nucleotides. Lineage: Eukaryota; Metazoa; Chordata; Mammalia; Rodentia; Sciuridae. The record is from Ensembl.